This 1021-nucleotide ribosomal RNA is filed under the name Astrocystis bambusicola. Its description in RNAcentral is "SSU rRNA". It matches the Rfam family "Eukaryotic small subunit ribosomal RNA", at positions 74 to 1105 of the family's 1831-position model. Lineage: Eukaryota; Fungi; Ascomycota; Sordariomycetes; Xylariales; Xylariaceae. The record is from RNAcentral.
UUAUACGGCGAAACUGCGAAUGGCUCAUUAAAUCAGUUAUCGUUUAUUUGAUAGUACCUUACUACUUGGAUAACCGUGGUAAUUCUAGAGCUAAUACAUGCUAAAAAUCCCGACUCACGGAGGGAUGUAUUUAUUAGAUUAAAAACCAAUGCCCCUCGGGGCUUUCUGGUGAUUCAUAAUAACUUCUCGAAUCGCAUGGCCUUGCGCCGGCGAUGGUUCAUUCAAAUUUCUGCCCUAUCAACUUUCGAUGGCAGGGUCUUGGCCUGCCAUGGUUACAACGGGUAACGGAGGGUUAGGGCUCGACCCCGGAGAAGGAGCCUGAGAAACGGCUACUACAUCCAAGGAAGGCAGCAGGCGCGCAAAUUACCCAAUCCCGACACGGGGAGGUAGUGACAAUAAAUACUGAUACAGGGCUCUUUUGGGUCUUGUAAUUGGAAUGAGUACAAUUUAAAUCCCUUAACGAGGAACAAUUGGAGGGCAAGUCUGGUGCCAGCAGCCGCGGUAAUUCCAGCUCCAAUAGCGUAUAUUAAAGUUGUUGCAGUUAAAAAGCUCGUAGUUGAACCUUGGGCCUGGCUGGCCGGUCCGCCUCACCGCGUGCACUGGUUCGGCCGGGCCUUUCCCUCUGGGGAGCCCUAUGCCCUUCACUGGGUGUAGUGGGGAACCAGGACUUUUACUGUGAAAAAAUUAGAGUGUUCAAAGCAGGCCUAUGCUCGAAUACAUCAGCAUGGAAUAAUAGAAUAGGACGUGUGGUUCUAUUUUGUUGGUUUCUAGGACCGCCGUAAUGAUUAAUAGGGACAGUCGGGGGCAUCAGUAUUCAAUUGUCAGAGGUGAAAUUCUUGGAUUUAUUGAAGACUAACUACUGCGAAAGCAUUUGCCAAGGAUGUUUUCAUUAAUCAGGAACGAAAGUUAGGGGAUCGAAGACGAUCAGAUACCGUCGUAGUCUUAACCAUAAACUAUGCCGACUAGGGAUCGGACGAUGUUAUUUUUUGACUCGUUCGGCACCUUACGAGAAAUCAAAGUC